ACGAACGCUGGCGGCGUGCUUAACACCUGCAAGUCGCACGGAAAGGCCCUGCUUUUGUGGGGUGCUCGAGUGGCGAACGGGUGAGUAACACGUGAGUAACCUGCCCUUGACUUUGGGAUAACUUCAGGAAACUGGGGCUAAUACCGGAUAGGAGCUCCUGCUGCAUGGUGGGGGUUGGAAAGUUUCGGCGGUUGGGGAUGGACUCGCGGCUUAUCAGCUUGUUGGUGGGGUAGUGGCUUACCAAGGCUUUGACGGGUAGCCGGCCUGAGAGGGUGACCGGCCACAUUGGGACUGAGAUACGGCCCAGACUCCUACGGGAGGCAGCAGUGGGGAAUAUUGCACAAUGGGCGGAAGCCUGAUGCAGCAACGCCGCGUGCGGGAUGACGGCCUUCGGGUUGUAAACCGCUUUCGCCUGUGACGAAGCGUGAGUGACGGUAAUGGGUAAAGAAGCACCGGCUAACUACGUG
Molecule: ribosomal RNA, 467 nt
Filed under: uncultured bacterium
Lineage: Bacteria
Description: partial 16S ribosomal RNA
Rfam family: Bacterial small subunit ribosomal RNA
Source: RNAcentral